Molecule: ribosomal RNA, 276 nt
Filed under: uncultured bacterium
Lineage: Bacteria
Description: partial 16S ribosomal RNA
Rfam family: Bacterial small subunit ribosomal RNA
Source: RNAcentral
UACGUAGGGCGCAAGCGUUGUCCGGAAUUAUUGGGCGUAAAGAGCUCGUAGGCGGUUUGUCGCGUCUGCUGUUGAAAAGCCCGGGGCUCAACCCCGGGUCUGCAGUGGGUACGGGCAGACUAGAGUGCAGUAGGGGAGACUGGAAUUCCUGGUGUAGGCGGUGAAAUGCGCAGAUAUCAGGAGGAACACCGAUGGCGAAAGGCAGGUCUCUGGCUGAUUACUGACGCUGAGGAGCGAAAGCAUGGGGAGCGAACAGGAUUAGAUACCCGGUAGUCC